CAAAGAACAGUCAGGGGGCUCAGGCCCUCAGGCGGGCUGAGCCAGAAAUCAGUCUCUUUAGCCCGGGCCCUAGCUCCAGGCAGGGCACCAACGAGGGUUUGUGACUGAAAAGUCAACUGGAUCAGAUAAAUGCAAUGGUUCAUUUAUAGAACUAGAGAAAACUGAAAACUCAGGGCAUGUCUACACUUACUGGGAAUCGACGCUGUGGUGAUUGAUAUACCAGGGGUCAAUUUAAUGGGUCUAGUGAAGACCCUCUAAAUCAACCACAGAUCGCUCUCCUGUCAACUCUGAUACACCACUAGAACAAGAAGAAUAAGCAGGAAUUUGUGCAGGCACAAUCAGGCUUCGUGCAUAACAAUUCAGAGACUGUGUCUGAAAAUUUGAUUCUUCCAGCCCAAUAACAAAAUGGUCUCCAAUCUCCUGCAAACCAGACUCGUGCAAGUGACCUUUCUCAGGUUACUAUUCAUUUGAAUGAAGAGGGGGGAAAAGAGAGUCAAAAUGAGAGCAUGACAGCAUGUGUGCUAAUGAGGAAAGAGCUCCUGCACAGCAUCCACUUGUGAGCUCAAACAUUUCUCAGUUGGAUGUAAAUCUGAUGAUAGGCUGCAUGUGCAAUUGGGCAACGCAAAUAAUUUUUGGUUGCACUAGGGGCUUCGGCUGCACUUCUGAAAAUAAUGUAUUGUUUUUGCAUACACAACGUUGAGGGUCAUUGCUCGUAAAUUGCAUAAAAUGCUCUCUCUGGGAAUCUAGCCUUAUUUCCUUGGCGUGAGUUUCUAUUUCACUUUGCAAGAAAAGGCCUAUUUGCUGCUAUUACCCAUCACAAUGUAAUCAGCUUCUGUUAUUAUCAUCGGUUUAU
This is a long non-coding RNA of Mauremys mutica (yellowpond turtle), 853 nucleotides long. RefSeq lists it as uncharacterized. NCBI's taxonomy places the organism in Eukaryota, Metazoa, Chordata, Testudines, Geoemydidae. The record is from RefSeq and is a predicted model, not a curated record. The transcript has 5 exons.